Molecule: ribosomal RNA, 331 nt
Filed under: uncultured bacterium
Lineage: Bacteria
Description: bacterial SSU rRNA
Rfam family: Bacterial small subunit ribosomal RNA
Source: RNAcentral
AGGGUUUGAUUAUGGCUCAGGAUGAACGCUAGCGACAGGCUUAACACAUGCAAGUCGAGGGGCAUCGGGGUGUAGCAAUACACUGCCGGCGACCGGCGCACGGGUGAGUAACGCGUAUGUAACCUUCCCGACACAGGGGUAUAGCCCAUGGAAACGUGGAUUAAUCCCCCAUAUCAUUAUGAUGAGGCAUCUCAUGAUAAUAAAAUUUACGGAGGUAUCGGAUGGGCAUGCGUCCUAUUAGCUAGUUGGCGGGGUAACGGCCCACCAAGGCGAUGAUAGGUAGGGGUUCUGAGAGGAAGGUCCCCCACAUUGGAACUGAGACACGGUCCAA